CAGUCGCCGCGGGAAUACGUAGGAUGCGAGCGUUAAUCGGAAUUACUGGGCGUAAAGCGUGCGCAGGCGGUUUUGUAAGACAGGCGUGAAAUCCCCGGGCUCAACCUGGGAAUGGCGCUUGUGACUGCAAAGCUAGAGUGCGGCAGAGGGGGAUGGAAUUCCGCGUGUAGCAGUGAAAUGCGUAGAUAUGCGGAGGAACACCGAUGGCGAAGGCAAUCCCCUGGGCCUGCACUGACGCUCAUGCACGAAAGCGUGGGGAGCAAACAGGAUUAGAUACCCGCGUAGUCCCUGUCUCUUAUAC
This 301-nucleotide ribosomal RNA is filed under the name uncultured bacterium. RNAcentral's name for it is "partial 16S ribosomal RNA". It matches the Rfam family "Bacterial small subunit ribosomal RNA", at positions 509 to 807 of the family's 1533-position model. The record is from RNAcentral.